AUUUUGACUUACUUUAAUGUAUGUUUACAUGCUUAUGUGCUUUGAACUUUUGUUAUUAUGCCAUGAACUUUUGUGUGUUUAUUUUGCCAUUGAUCCAUGAUUCACAUGUCAUUCUUUCAUGUCUUGUUGAACCCUUGUGUGCAUGUGUUCCCUUGUGUUUGUCUUUGUUUAUGUGUUUACAAAUGCUUUAAACUUGUAAUAACAUGUCUUUGUAUGACUUG
This 221-nucleotide long non-coding RNA is filed under the name Lathyrus oleraceus (garden pea). RNAcentral's name for it is "Pisum sativum (pea) long non-coding RNA (PSAT_LNC014245)". The record is from RNAcentral. Lineage: Eukaryota; Viridiplantae; Streptophyta; Magnoliopsida; Fabales; Fabaceae.